GUAGGUGGCAAACGUUAUCCGGAAUUAUUGGGCGUAAAGCGCGCGUAGGCGGUUUUUUAAGUCUGAUGUGAAAGCCCACGGCUCAACCGUGGAGGGUCAUUGGAAACUGGAAAACUUGAGUGCAGAAGAGGAAAGUGGAAUUCCAUGUGUAGCGGUGAAAUGCGCAGAGAUAUGGAGGAACACCAGUGGCGAAGGCGACUUUCUGGUCUGUAACUGACGCUGAUGUGCGAAAGCGUGGGGAUCAAACAGGAUUAGAUACCCUGGUAGUCCACGCCGUAAACGAUGAGUGCUAAGUGUUAGGGGGUUUCCGCCCCUUAGUGCUGCAGCUAACGCAUUAAGCACUCCGCCUGGGGAGUACGACCGCAAGGUUG
RNAcentral lists this ribosomal RNA (371 nucleotides) under uncultured bacterium. RNAcentral describes it as "bacterial SSU rRNA". It matches the Rfam family "Bacterial small subunit ribosomal RNA", at positions 527 to 896 of the family's 1533-position model. The record is from RNAcentral.